UUGCAGUGAAUGUUGGAAAAUCUCGAUAAGCGGCGGCUGAUCGACCGUAACGGCAGGACAUGCAGAGCCGCCGUCCUCGGCCUCUCAAUCACAGCGGCUGGCAGGGGGAACCUCGCCCUCGGCUUGUGAUCCCUGUAAUGGAAUAUGGUGUAUAAUCGAGAGGCGAGCUGCUGAGUUAAUGAAAAGGGUGGAGAGGUGACAUUUUCUGAGGGACGUCUGAAGGAGGGUGACAUUUACAAAGAAGAAGCCCCAAAGACGGACCGUUUUUUCAUAAGUUGGAGGAAUGCAAAGCUGAUUUCUGCGCAACUGAAAUCCCCAGUUUAGCUUGGCGGCUUUCUGAGUCGGGAUCCCGUCUCGGGGCGGACAACAAAUCGGCUCCUUCACGGCCCAGUGAACCAUCGACUGGGUAACCAGCAGACAGGAAAGAUGCAUGGGGCUUUAAACUGUCGCUGGCCUCUGCACUCUUCCUCUCCGAACCGUGCGCUGCUCCGUGACUCUGGACGUUACACACAGAAUAAAAAUGAGGCGAGACAGCUGGAAAAUUUAACAUGUUGUCAGGCUGCUCUCUGUGAUUUAGGAACUGUGGAUUGGAGUCAUUUGUUUUAGCUAAUGUAAAUACAGUGAUGGUGGGGCUGGUGAUGCACAACGCUCACUGGGGUUACUGGUAAUGGGAGUGUUACACUGGGAUAUGCUGAUUACUCUGGUGUAGCAUUUUGACUUAUACCCACAUCAGUGUUGCAAAUGGUGCCAUUUUGGUUGAUGGCACCAGUUAAAUUUGGUUUUAACGAGUUAUAAGAACAGAAGCUGAUGCACAGUUGGUAUUUUAAACUCUACAUUUUCUACUUCUAAUUAAAACUGAUGUGAAAUAACUAUGCAGGAUGAUCAGAUGCAUGUUGAAUCACUAUACACCACUUUAUUUCUAUUCCUGUUGUAACAAGUAAUAAAUGAAUUUAUCAUUUAAUCGCAUGAACUCAA
Molecule: long non-coding RNA, 975 nt
Organism: Poecilia latipinna (sailfin molly)
Lineage: Eukaryota; Metazoa; Chordata; Actinopteri; Cyprinodontiformes; Poeciliidae
Exons: 2
Source: RefSeq, a predicted model, not a curated record